GCAAUUUCUAUUUGCAUGAAUAUCCAAGGGUGGACAGUUAUGGUAGCCAUUGGAUUCAAUGCCGCAAUAAGCGUAAGGGUGUCAAAUGAACUCGGUGCAGGGCAUCCAAGAAGCGCAAAAUUCUCAGUAAUGGUAGCUUCCAUCACAUCUUUAUUAUCCGGCAUCUUUCUCUCGACGAUUCUACUUGUUUGUCGGAGUUGGUAUCCUCCAUUCUUUUCAAACAAUGAACAAGUACAACAACUUGUCUAUCACCUCACUCCUAUCUUAGCAACCACCAUUGUUAUUGGAUGUCU
This 293-nucleotide unclassified non-coding RNA is filed under the name Hevea brasiliensis (rubber tree). The record is from RNAcentral. Lineage: Eukaryota; Viridiplantae; Streptophyta; Magnoliopsida; Malpighiales; Euphorbiaceae.